Molecule: long non-coding RNA, 2684 nt
Organism: Gadus macrocephalus (Pacific cod)
Lineage: Eukaryota; Metazoa; Chordata; Actinopteri; Gadiformes; Gadidae
Exons: 3
Source: RefSeq, a predicted model, not a curated record
AAACACACGCGCACGCGCGCACACACACACACACACACACACACACACACACACACACACACACACACACACACACACACACACACACACACACACACACACACACACACACACACACACACAAACGGACCACUACACUAAGUAGAGGCUUGUUGUAUAGCGACCAAAACAGAAUAAUUCAUAAUUCAUAUAGUCAACACUCCAUGGACAUAGAUCACAUUAGUUCCUUCUCCAUGUGGAAGCCAAACGGCCAAACUUCCUCCUAAUCAGCGGGUCCGGGGGGUCAAAUUAAAGAUGGAAAGAGGGAGAGAGAUGCAUCGGAAAACAAUUUACAGCCAAGAGACAGAGAGACAAGAGCGCAGUGGAGUGGAGUGCUGGCAGACUCUAGUUGGCAAGUAAGUGUUGAGGCUGGGUAGCGGAGCCGGAGCGGAGAGAGCAGACUCCUCAACGCAGCGCUUUUUUGUUCAUUCCCAGCAUGUCUCCGUCAGCCACUCCGCCGUGAUUUACGACUCUCCGGCCAGAAACUCCGCCGUCGCUGAUUGUCCUCCGCCGGCUCACUCGCGGCGAGCGUCUUUGAGAAGGGGAAGAUGGACGGCUCGUGAGGAGGUCUGGAGUGGCGGAGACGAGGCUGAGUGGAGGCUCGAGGUAACGAGCAGCCCUGACCUCGAGUGGCGUUUUCAUAGAUUAGCAUUCUAUUUCCCCGCCACUUGCCGCCUCCGGCACCGGCACCCGCACGCACCCUGGCCUCGGCUCGGACAGACUAUUUACUGGAUGACACCCGGCGCCUCCGCCAUAAACACGAGUGUCUGACCAAGGGAAUAAUGAGACAUGAUUGCACUUUAAGAGCGCUUACAUAGGACUUUAACUUAGUGACAACAUCCCAGAAGAUGGUUGUAAUCAUCGGGAUCCUUUUCGUUAUCCUACGUAGGUUUGGCAGUUUUUUAUUUUGUACUGUGCAGAAACACGGUAUAUGUAUCAAGGUACAAGUAUUAACAUAAUUGCACUGCUUACCUUUUAACCGUUUUGUUUUUAUCAUCAAAGGGAAAUCCCAUAGGGUGUUUGGUUGUGUGUGUGUGUGUGUGUGUGUGUGUGUGUGUGUGUGUGUGUGUGUGUGUGUGUGUGUGUGUGUGUGUGUGUGUGUGUGUGUGUGUGUGUGUGUGUGCGUGUGUGUAAUUGAAUGAGUGCGCACAAUAAUAUAAAGGAAUAAUGAGAGAUAGUCACGUACAUAUUUAGAGAGAAACAAAAUUAAUCGACUUUCUAACGCAACAAAGCAAUAUACCUUCCUUAUCCAUUAGGUGUGCUAAAACCAUGAAGUGCCCAAUUCAAUGGAGAGGUUCUUGUGUCGUUGGAUGUGGUCCAACAACACAAGGACCCAAGAUGAGCAUCCGACGUGAAUCCCCCUGCCAUGUGGGCCGGAACGGGGAAAGGAAAGCAUCACAGUGUGGAGUUGGACCGAGAGGAAAAGCAAGAAACAGGUCAAAGGAAGACAAGUACCAGCGUGUAAUCACAGACUCUGAGGCCAACCCGCGCACAUCCACCAGCCAAAGCCUUCUCCAACCCAUCCAUGAAUCGCCUUUGCCUGGGAUUCCUGGCCAGGACCACUGCCUGCUGGAGCCCAGACAUCCUGCAUAGGACGCCCAUCAAUGGCCGAAUAAUAUAACACAUGGCAAUACAAUUGACUUCAUAUACAGCACGUAAGAAAAUACACACUGGGAUUUCUCACUGGAACUCUUUAACCGAUGCACACAACGACCCAGGCUAUUAUACUGUGUAAUGCUGCAGGGAGAGUGACACUCUAACCGUAGUAAUUACUGUGAGUUUAAUAGGAAUUGCCAGACAAGGAUUCCCAGAGCAACCGCGACAGCUUGGGAGGAUGAAGACCACUUUUCGCCAGGCCUUUGGAGUUUAUCAGAAUGUCUUACAUGCUACUUUAAAUUGUUAUCCACUUUAGAUCACAUUCUUUUUCUGUAGUGACCUGGGAUAAGAAUUAAAUAUUGCAAUCUGUUAUUUAUGAGUUUUAACCAUUUAACUCGCAAUGCUAGUGUCCGGUCAUUGAAAGUUCCUAACAUCGAUCAACCAUUCGUAAACUCCAACUCUUUCAAUAAAGCCUUGGGUUUAUUUAUGUUCUGUCUAGGGCUAAGGAGCAAGCCCUAUAUUUCUUGGUCUCUUUUAGAAGUCCUACACCGAGUGUAAAUCAUACUGAUAUACUAGUAUAGGCAUACCCUGCUUCUUUUUUGUAUCUAUCUACUUAAACUAUGCUAUAUUUUUAGCCAUUUUUACCACAUUUUCAGCUUUUUGUUGUUGUGUCCUCAAUUAAAAACGUCAACAUAUUUUUUGGGCAAUCAAUCGAAUUGAUUGUAUUUAUUUGAUUCUAUUCGAUAGAAGUGCCUUUGACCAAUAGGUCGAUAGCGUAGUUGGUUUGGCACUUUAUCAAAUAUAAACACUUAUGAAAGCUAUAUUGUUAACACAUAGCCUCUUUUUGCACUCACAAAGUUUUUGUUUUUUGCUUGAGUUCCAAAAUCUUGCAAUGUAUUUAAUAACCCUAUGUUUAAAAGACACAAAACGUAACAAUUGACAAUUACAACGUACAUUUUUUUAAUAUCUAAUAUGUAGAUAGAAAAUAAAAAAUGUAACGUAAAUCCUGUAUUGUUACAUUGCUUUUGUCUAAAUUAGCUUAUUGAUUA